GACGAACGCUGGCGGCGUGCCUAAUACAUGCAAGUAGAACGCUGAAGGAGGAGCUUGCUCUUCUGGAUGAGUUGCGAACGGGUGAGUAACGCGUAGGUAACCUGCCUGGUAGCGGGGGAUAACUAUUGGAAACGAUAGCUAAUACCGCAUAACAGUAGAUGUUGCAUGACAUUUACUUAAAAGGUGCAAUUGCAUCACUACCAGAUGGACCUGCGUUGUAUUAGCUAGUUGGUGGGGUAACGGCUCACCAAGGCGACGAUACAUAGCCGACCUGAGAGGGUGAUCGGCCACACUGGGACUGAGACACGGCUCAGACUCCUACGGGAGGCAGCAGUAGGGAAUCUUCGGCAAUGGACGGAAGUCUGACCGAGCAACGCCGCGUGAGUGAAGAAGGUUUUCGGAUCGUAAAGCUCUGUUGUAAGAGAAGAACGAGUGUGAGAGUGGAAAGUUCACACUGUGACGGUAUCUUACCAGAAAGGGACGGCUAACUACGUG
RNAcentral lists this ribosomal RNA (495 nucleotides) under uncultured bacterium. RNAcentral's name for it is "partial 16S ribosomal RNA". It matches the Rfam family "Bacterial small subunit ribosomal RNA", at positions 28 to 507 of the family's 1533-position model. The record is from RNAcentral.